RNAcentral lists this ribosomal RNA (484 nucleotides) under uncultured bacterium. Its description in RNAcentral is "partial 16S ribosomal RNA". It matches the Rfam family "Bacterial small subunit ribosomal RNA", at positions 30 to 507 of the family's 1533-position model. The record is from RNAcentral.
AUUGAACGCUGGCGGCAGGCCUAACACAUGCAAGUCGAGCGGAUGAAGGGAGCUUACUCCUGGAUUCAGCGGCGGACGGGUGAGUAAUGCCUAGGAAUCUGCCUGGUAGUGGGGGAUAACGUCCGGAAACGGGCGCUAAUACCGCAUACGUCCUGAGGGAGAAAGUGGGGGAUCUUCGGACCUCACGCUAUCAGAUGAGCCUAGGUCGGAUUAGCUAGUUGGUGGGGUAAAGGCCUACCAAGGCGACGAUCCGUAACUGGUCUGAGAGGAUGAUCAGUCACACUGGAACUGAGACACGGUCCAGACUCCUACGGGAGGCAGCAGUGGGGAAUAUUGGACAAUGGGCUAAAGCCUGAUCCAGCCAUGCCGCGUGUGUGAAGAAGGUCUUCGGAUUGUAAAGCACUUUAAGUUGGGAGGAAGGGCAGUAAGUUAAUACCUUGCUGUUUUGACGUUACCAACAGAAUAAGCACCGGCUAACUUCGUG